AGCUGAUGUUGGCAUGAGUAGCGAUAAACAGGGUGAAAAACCCUGUCGCCGUAAACCCAAGGGUUCCUGGGUAAAGAUAAUCUUCUCAGGGUUAGUCGGUCCCUAAGGCGAGGCAGAAAUGCGUAGUCGAUGGGUAGCAGGCGAAUAUUCCUGCACCAGCACGGAAGGUUUCACGAGGAGGGACGGAGGAGGAUAGCCAAGCGACCUGAUGGAUGGUCGUUCAAGCCGGUAGGCAGCUCGCGUAGGAGGCGUAGGCCGCAAACGCGUGAGCAAUGCCGAGAGGUGAUGAGGGUCGCCGCAAGGCGGACAACUUGGUGAUUCCAUGCUUCCAAGAAAAGCUUCGCGUGAGUGUACCUCUGUGCUGACCGUACCGUAAACCGACACAGGUGGGUGGGGAGAACAUCCCAAGGCGCUUGAGAGAACUCGGGUUAAGGAACUCGCAAAUUGACACCGUAACUUCGGGAGAAGGUGUGCCCUUGAGGGUGAUCGGCUUCGCGCCGCGAGCCUUUGGGGGUUGCAGAGAAUCGGGGGUAGCGACUGUUUAUCAAAAACACAGGACUCUGCGAAGUCGCAAGACGACGUAUAGGGUCUGACGCCUGCCCGGUGCUGGAAGGUUAACAGGAGAUGUCAGGGCAACCGAAGCAUCGAAUCGAAGCCCCAGAAAACGGCGGCCGUAACAAUAACGGUCCUAAGGUAGCGAAAUUCCUUGGCGGGUAAGUUCCGUCCUGCACGAAUGGCGUAACGACUUCCCCACUGUCUCGACCCGGGACUCAGCGAAAUUGAAAUCGGGGUGAUGAUGCCCCGUACCCGCGGAAAGACGGAAAGACCCCGUGAACCUUUACUGCAGCUUGGCACUGGUUUUCGGAUUUGUCUGUGUAGGAUAGGUGGGAGGCUGUGAAGUGGGGGCGCUAGCUUCCACGGAGCCAACGUUGAGAUACCACCCUGACAAAUCUGAAAGCCUAACCGUGACCCGUAAGCCGGGUCCGGAACACUGCCUGGUGGGUAGUUUGACUGGGGCGGUCACCUCCGAAAAAGUAACGGAGGCGCGCAAAGGUUCCCUCAGGCUGAUUGGAAACCAGCCGUAGAGUGUAAAAGCACAAGGGAGCUUGACUGCAACUCAUACGAGAGGAGCAGGUACGAAAGUAGGCUUUAGUGGUCCGGUGGUUCUGAACGGAAGGGCCAUCGCUCAACGGAUAAAAGGUACUCCGGGGAUAACAGGCUUAUCACGCCCAAGAGUUCACAUCGACGGCGUGGUUUGGCACCUCGAUGUCGGCUCAUCGCAUCCUGGGGCUGUAGUAGGUCCCAAGGGUUUUGCUGUUCGCCAAUUAAAGCGGUACGCGAGCUGGGUUCAAAACGUCGUGAGACAGUUUGGUCCCUAUCUUCCGUGGGCGCAGGAGUCUUGAAGUGGAUCUGUCCCUAGUACGAGAGGACCGGGAUGGACGAACCCCUGGUGUUCCGGUUGUUUUGCCAGAGGCAUUGCCGGGUAGCUAUGUUCGGAACGGAUAACCGCUGAAAGCAUCUAAGCGGGAAGCCAACCACAAGAUGAGGACUCCCUGAAGGCCCGUUGUAGACUACGACGUUGAUAGGCUGGGUGUGGAAGUGCGGCAACGCAUGGAGCUAACCAGUACUAAUCGGCCGUUUGGCUUGAUC
Molecule: ribosomal RNA, 1650 nt
Filed under: metagenome
Description: bacterial LSU rRNA
Rfam family: Bacterial large subunit ribosomal RNA
Source: RNAcentral